ACCUAGUUGAAGAGUCUCAAAUAGGACGAAACGUAUGUUCUGGAU
Molecule: non-coding RNA, 45 nt
Organism: Schistosoma mattheei
Lineage: Eukaryota; Metazoa; Platyhelminthes; Trematoda; Strigeidida; Schistosomatidae
Source: Rfam